Athalia rosae (coleseed sawfly) is the source of this 660-nucleotide long non-coding RNA. RefSeq lists it as uncharacterized. The record is from RefSeq and is a predicted model, not a curated record. The transcript has 4 exons. Lineage: Eukaryota; Metazoa; Arthropoda; Insecta; Hymenoptera; Athaliidae.
UAAUCAUUUUGAUCUUCAUUCCUGUUCUUGCGGUGACGCGUGGCAUAUCUUCUGUACUUUUGGUACCAUUUAACACAGAUUGUCGAUCCCCUGCGAAUGUGCCGCGAUGUUUCACAUCAAACUUUACGCCUUCUGAGGUCCGAAUUGUACGGAGAUUUUCGCCACCGCAACCGGUUGUGCAUGAUAGACGAUACGUUAAAAAGACAAAAAGUGAGAAGGAAAGGCCGAAGAGGAGGAGAUCAGUUACCUUUUCACGGUAGACGACAUCAAAAAUAAAAUACGAAAGAGAAAAAGAGGACAGUAGGUCACAACGGGACUAGCCUUUCAAUCGAGGCAAUGGACGACAUCCAGCGGGCUUCGAGUCUUACGAUUCAGCUGCAAUGGGUGGAUUUUGUCGCUGUAUCUGCGUAAUACUGUAACAGAGUGGCCUACAUGCUUCUCUGCGCGAGACGAGACGCGACGAAAGAAAGAUCUGCAGUUUACACAUGCGAGAAUAUGGAGGGAAAUACUUUAUGGUAAAGAAAGAGCUGACGAAGAUCACCGUAUACCGCCUCCAGGGGCUCCAGGUUUACUCUCUCCGUACACCUUCGAGGCAAUCUCUCGUCGUUCUAAUCGGCGAGAAAGUUGGAUGAACUGUUCGUCGUGGAGCGGUGGACCAAU